UACGGAAGGCAGCAGUGGGGAAUAUUGCACAAUGGGCGAAAGCCUGAUGCAGCUAUGCCGCGUGUAUGAAAAAGGCCUUCGGGUUUGUAAAGUACUUUUCAGUCGUGAGGAAGGUGUUAAGGUUAAUAACCUUAGCAAUUGACGUUAGCGACAGAAGAAGCACCGGCUAACUCCGUGCCAGCAGCCGCGGUAAUACGGAGGGUGCGAGCGUUAAUCGGAAUUACUGGGCGUAAAGGGCACGCAGGCGGUUAAUUAAGUUGGAUGUGAAAUCCCCGGGCUUAACCUGGGAAUGGCAUUCAAGACUGGUUAGCUAGAGUCUUGUAGAGGGGGUAGAAUUCCAUGUGUAGCGGUGAAAUGCGUAGAGAUGUGGAGGAAUACCGGUGGCGAAAGGCGGCCCCUGGACAAAGACUGACGCUCAUGUGCGAAAGCGUGGGGAGCAAACAGGGAUUAGAUACC
RNAcentral lists this ribosomal RNA (456 nucleotides) under uncultured bacterium. RNAcentral's name for it is "bacterial SSU rRNA". It matches the Rfam family "Bacterial small subunit ribosomal RNA", at positions 340 to 786 of the family's 1533-position model. The record is from RNAcentral.